This 69-nucleotide transfer RNA is filed under the name Zu cristatus (scalloped ribbonfish). Its description in RNAcentral is "tRNA-Asp". It matches the Rfam family "tRNA". From Rfam's summary of the family: Transfer RNA (tRNA) molecules are approximately 80 nucleotides in length. Their secondary structure includes four short double-helical elements and three loops (D, anti-codon, and T loops). The record is from RNAcentral. Lineage: Eukaryota; Metazoa; Chordata; Actinopteri; Lampriformes; Trachipteridae.
AAGGCAUUAGUAAAAAUAUUACACUACUUUGUCAGGGCAGUAAUGCGGGUUAAAAUCCCGCAUGCCUUA